UACGUAGGGGGCAAGCGUUGUCCGGAUUUAUUGGGCGUAAAGAGCUCGUAGGCGGUUCCGUAAGUCGUGAAGUCAAAUCUCUGGGCUCAACCCAGAAUCGCUUCCGAUACUGCGGUGACUGGAGUCCGGUAGGGGAGAACGGAAUUCCUGGUGUAGCGGUGAAAUGCGCAGAUAUCAGGAGGAACACCGGUGGCGAAGGCGGUUCUCUGGGCAUUACCCGACGCUGAGGAGCGAAAGUGUGGGGAGCGAACAGG
Molecule: ribosomal RNA, 254 nt
Filed under: uncultured bacterium
Lineage: Bacteria
Description: partial 16S ribosomal RNA
Rfam family: Bacterial small subunit ribosomal RNA
Source: RNAcentral